RNAcentral lists this ribosomal RNA (490 nucleotides) under uncultured bacterium. Its description in RNAcentral is "SSU rRNA". It matches the Rfam family "Bacterial small subunit ribosomal RNA", at positions 26 to 524 of the family's 1533-position model. The record is from RNAcentral.
AGGAUUAACGCUGGCGGCGUGCAUGAAACAUGCAAGUCGAGCGCGGUGUGAUGCGGGGUAACCCAAUUCACAUCUAGCGGCGAACGGGUGAGUAACACGUGAGCAACCUACCUUUGAGUUGGGGAUAGCCCUGGGAAACCAGGAUUAAUACCCGAUGUGGUCACAACAGGACAUCCUGAUGUGAGUAAAGGCGUAAGCCGCUCAAUGACGGGCUCGCGGCCUAUUAGCUUGUUGGUGGGGUAACGGCCUACCAAGGCGAUGAUGGGUAGCUGGUCUGAGAGGACGAUCAGCCACACUGGGACUGAGACACGGCCCAGACUCCUACGGGAGGCAGCAGUUAGGAAUUUUCCGCAAUGGGCGAAAGCCUGACGGAGCAACGCCGCGUGAGUGAUGAAGACCUUCGGGUUGUAAAGCUCUGUCGGAGGGAGAACACAAUGACGGUACCUCCAACGAAACGCCCGGCUAACUACGCGCCAGCAGCCGCGGUAAC